This 963-nucleotide ribosomal RNA is filed under the name Triticum aestivum (bread wheat). Its description in RNAcentral is "partial small subunit ribosomal RNA". The record is from RNAcentral. Lineage: Eukaryota; Viridiplantae; Streptophyta; Magnoliopsida; Poales; Poaceae.
AUGGUGAAGCUGACAUGCGUGCAGCUGCUCAUGGUGGCCUUCCAGGCUACGCUCAUCACCAUGUCAUCUGCAGAAUUGCCCUACAAUUUCUACAGUUCGUCGUGCCCCAACGCCGAGGAAACAAUCAAGAAUACCGUCUACAACUUGAUCGACGGCAACCCAAGUAUUGCUGCGGCCUUAAUUCGCAUGCACUUCCACGAUUGCUUUGUAAUGGGUUGUGACGCUUCCAUCCUUCUGGACUCCUCGAACUCCAACCCCCAGCCGGAAAAGUCAGCCAUUCCCUUGGCUGGGUAUGAGGCCGUCGACAAGAUCAAGGCGGCCGUCGAGGCCGUGUGUCCUUUGACGGUCUCCUGCGCCGAUGUCCUCGCCUUCGCCGCACGCGACUCUGUCAGUAAAUCCGCCGGUUUCUCCUACCACGUCCGCUCCGGGAGGCGUGACGGCAAUGUGUCGAAAGCCUUCUCCGUCGUCACGAACAUGCCGUCGCCUUUCUUCGGAAUCGAGGACCUUGUCGGCAGCUUCACCCGGAAGGGGCUCAAUGUUGAUGACCUCGUGGCUCUCUCUGGCGCGCACUCCAUCGGUGUGGCACACUGCUCCGGCUUCACCAACCGGCUGUACCCUGAGGUGGACACGACAAUGGACUCCGCAUACGCCACAGACCUAAAGAAGACGUGCCCAGCACCGGUGCGUGGUGCGCCGGACCCGGUGGUGAACAACAGCGCGGUGGCGCCGACGACGCUGAGCAACCAGUUCUUCAAGAACGCUGUCGCUAGGCGAGUGUUGUUCACGUCGGACGCGGCGCUGCUCACCCGCAACGACACAGGGGCGAAGGUGCAGGAAAACGCUGCGGACUCCUUGUUGUGGAAGGUGCGGUUUGCGGCGUCGAUGGUGAAGAUGGGAAACAUCGAAGUGCUUACAGGGACGAAUGGGCAGGUCAGGAAGUUCUGCCGUACCAUAAACAGCUAA